AGAAGCGCACAAUCUUGUCACGUGCUCGUGGCGAGCUUGGUCUUAGAGUCUUCCUUACAGAUGAUCCGUCAGUGAGGGUGUCCGCUCCAGGUCAGGAUUUUAAUUUUGCAAGCACACCCACCACUGCCCAAGAGCAGGCAACUGUCAAUUCUAUUCCAAAUCCUUUCCAAGAAACCAGGACAAAUGAAGUGAGGCAAUUCCAACACUUACCACGGGAACAGCAGCGACCAGCCCCGAUGGCGGGGCAGCAAUACUACGCUCAGGGACAGGGUUCAUAUGGAGAUCAGCAGCAGAGAAACUACGCCGCUGCUGGGAACAAACCUGAAGCCCCUC
Molecule: long non-coding RNA, 333 nt
Filed under: Brachypodium distachyon (stiff brome)
Lineage: Eukaryota; Viridiplantae; Streptophyta; Magnoliopsida; Poales; Poaceae
Description: long non-coding RNA (BDIS_LNC000405)
Source: RNAcentral